RNAcentral lists this ribosomal RNA (253 nucleotides) under uncultured bacterium. Its description in RNAcentral is "partial 16S ribosomal RNA". It matches the Rfam family "Bacterial small subunit ribosomal RNA", at positions 524 to 776 of the family's 1533-position model. The record is from RNAcentral.
UACGUAGGGGGCAAGCGUUGUCCGGAAUUAUUGGGCGUAAAGAGCGUGUAGGCGGUCCGGUAAGUCAGCUGUGAAAGUCAAGGGCUCAACCCUUGAAUGCCGGUUGAUACUGUCGGGCUGGAGUCCGGAAGAGGCGAGUGGAAUUCCCGGUGUAGCGGUGAAAUGCGCAGAUAUCGGGAGGAACACCAAUGGCGAAGGCAGCUCGCUGGGACGGUACUGACGCUGAGACGCGAAAGCGUGGGGAGCAAACAGG